This 496-nucleotide ribosomal RNA is filed under the name uncultured bacterium. RNAcentral's name for it is "partial 16S ribosomal RNA". It matches the Rfam family "Bacterial small subunit ribosomal RNA", at positions 28 to 506 of the family's 1533-position model. The record is from RNAcentral.
GAUGAACGCUGGCGGCGUGCCUAAUACAUGCAAGUCGAGCGAACAGAUGAGGAGCUUGCUCCUCUGACGUUAGCGGCGGACGGGUGAGUAACACGUGGAUAACCUACCUAUAAGACUGGGAUAACUUCGGGAAACCGGAGCUAAUACCGGAUAAUAUAUUGAACCGCAUGGUUCAAUAGUGAAAGACGGUCUUGCUGUCACUUAUAGAUGGAUCCGCGCCGCAUUAGCUAGUUGGUAAGGUAACGGCUUACCAAGGCAACGAUGCGUAGCCGACCUGAGAGGGUGAUCGGCCACACUGGAACUGAGACACGGUCCAGACUCCUACGGAGGGCAGCAGUAGGAAAUCUUCCGCAAUGGGCGAAAGCCUGACGGAGCAACGCCGCGUGAGUGAUGAAGGUCUGCGGAUCGUAAAACUCUGUUAUUAGGGAAGAACAAAUGUGUAAGUAACUAUGCACGUCUGGACGGUACCUAAUCAGAAAGCCACGGCUAACUACGG